AUUGAACGCUGGCGGCAUGCUUUACACAUGCAAGUCGAACGGUAACAGGCCGCAAGGUGCUGACGAGUGGCGAACGGGUGAGUAAUGCAUCGGAACGUGCCCAGUCGUGGGGGAUAACGCAGCGAAAGCUGCGCUAAUACCGCAUACGAUCUAUGGAUGAAAGCGGGGGACCGUAAGGCCUCGCGCGAUUGGAGCGGCCGAUGUCAGAUUAGGUAGUUGGGGGGGUAAAGGCUCACCAAGCCAACGAUCUGUAGCUGGGCUGAGAGGACGACCAGCCACACUGGGACUGAGACACGGCCCAGACUCCUGCGGGAGGCAGCAGUGGGGAAUUUUGGACAAUGGGCGCAAGCCUGAUCCAGCAAUGCCGCGUGCAGGAAGAAGGCCUUCGGGUUGUAAACUGCUUUUGUACGGAACGAAACGGUCCUGGUUAAUACCUGGGGCUAAUGACGGUACCGUAAGAAUAAGCACCGGCUAACUACGUGCCAGCCGCCGCGGUAA
This 498-nucleotide ribosomal RNA is filed under the name uncultured bacterium. RNAcentral's name for it is "partial 16S ribosomal RNA". It matches the Rfam family "Bacterial small subunit ribosomal RNA", at positions 29 to 523 of the family's 1533-position model. The record is from RNAcentral.